UACAGAGGUCUCAAGCGUUGUUCGGAUUCAUUGGGCGUAAAGGGUGCGUAGGUGGCGCUGUAAGUCAGGUGUGAAGUUUCGGAGCUUAACUCCGAAACUGCAUUUGAUACUGCGGUGCUUGAGGACUGGAGAGGAGACUGGAAUUUACGGUGUAGCAGUGAAAUGCGUAGAGAUCGUAAGGAAGACCAGUGGCGAAGGCGGGUCUCUGGACAGUUCCUGACACUGAGGCACGAAGGCCAGGGGAGCAAACGGG
Molecule: ribosomal RNA, 253 nt
Filed under: uncultured bacterium
Lineage: Bacteria
Description: partial 16S ribosomal RNA
Rfam family: Bacterial small subunit ribosomal RNA
Source: RNAcentral